Molecule: ribosomal RNA, 651 nt
Filed under: uncultured bacterium
Lineage: Bacteria
Description: bacterial SSU rRNA
Rfam family: Bacterial small subunit ribosomal RNA (bases 98-651)
Source: RNAcentral
CACCGAGAUUUUCACCGCAUUCGCUGGGAGAAGCCAGCGGCAAGCGCGACGAUGAAGGCCGGUGGCGGGAGGAGAAUAAUCCUCGCGCUUCACGCUAUUAUUAAAGUGACUAACACCGAAUGGGUGGUGGAAACUUGGGUGUGAAAAACAAGUUAGUGGCGGACGGGUGAGUAACACGUGAGCAACCUGCCUUAAAGAGGGGGAUAACGUCUGGAAACGGACGCUAAUACCGCAUAAGACCACGGAACGGCAUCGUUCUGUGCUCAAAGGAGCAAUCCGCUUUAAGAUGGGCUCGCGCCCGAUUAGGUAGUUGGUGGGGUAAAGGCCUACCAAGCCUGCGAUCGGUAGCCGGACUGAGAGGUUGAACGGCCACAUUGGGACUGAGACACGGCCCAGACUCCUACGGGAGGCAGCAGUGGGGAAUAUUGCACAAUGGGGGAAACCCUGAUGCAGCGACGCCGCGUGAGUGAAGACGGUCUUCGGAUUGUAAAGCUCUGUUGCAGAGGACGAAUAAUGACGGUACUCUGUGAGGAAGCCACGGCUAACUACGUGCCAGCAGCCGCGGUAAUACGUAGGUGGCAAGCGUUGUCCGGAAUUACUGGGUGUAAAGGGAGCGUAGGCGGAGAUGCAAGUUGGAUGUGAAAUACCGCA